UGAAGGGAGUUACAUUUCAAGGUUGAGGAACCUUGCACGUUUAUAUAUGCUUUCACAUUUUUUAGACUUGUACAUUAAUGAUUAUGAAUUUAAUUUAUUUUGAACUCCCUUAAAAAUACUAUUCAUGAGGGUAUGCAUGGUUUUAAAAAUUCAAAUGAUGAUGGAACCAUAUGCAUAGCGUAGAAGAUGCGAUCACGAGCCUUUGCAUAUUAUUUCACAUUUUUGGCACCUGUAAAUGAAUUAUUAUAAUUUUUUUGAAUGUGUUUGGUAUUUUUAAAUUACUUGAUACUUUUAGUUUUAAUGUGUUCUAUAAUU
Molecule: long non-coding RNA, 315 nt
Filed under: Malus domestica (apple)
Lineage: Eukaryota; Viridiplantae; Streptophyta; Magnoliopsida; Rosales; Rosaceae
Description: long non-coding RNA (MDOM_LNC000094)
Source: RNAcentral